RNAcentral lists this ribosomal RNA (253 nucleotides) under uncultured bacterium. RNAcentral's name for it is "partial 16S ribosomal RNA". It matches the Rfam family "Bacterial small subunit ribosomal RNA", at positions 524 to 776 of the family's 1533-position model. The record is from RNAcentral.
UACAGAGGGUGCAAGCGUUAAUCGGAAUUACUGGGCGUAAAGCGUGCGUAGACGGUUGCGUAAGUCAGAUGUGAAAGCCCCGGGCUCAACCUGGGAAUUGCAUUUGAGACUGCGUAGCUAGGGUGCGGAAGAGGGAAGCGGAAUUUCCGAUGUAACGGUGAAAUGCGUAGAUAUCGGAAAGAACACCAGUGGCGAAAGCGGCUUCCUGGUCCAGCACCGACGUUCAGGCACGAAAGCGUAGGGAGCAAACAGG